RNAcentral lists this unclassified non-coding RNA (335 nucleotides) under uncultured Pseudoalteromonas sp. Its description in RNAcentral is "partial 16S-23S ribosomal RNA intergenic spacer". The record is from RNAcentral. Lineage: Bacteria; Pseudomonadati; Pseudomonadota; Gammaproteobacteria; Alteromonadales; Pseudoalteromonadaceae.
CCUCCUUAUACGAUUUAGAACUUAUUUGUUCGUAGUGUCCACACAGAUGAUUGUUAGUUAGUUUUACCCUCUGGGUUAACUAAUUAAUAUGCUCUUUAAAAAUUUGGAAAAGCUGAUAAUAAAAUUCGUAUGAAUACAUUGUAUUUGUACAGAGUUUUCAAAAGUAAAAAAGAAUGAUAGCAGUAUCAUUCAGUGCCAUUUAAUGAACGUUUUACGUUUGUUGAUUGGUAUCUACUUUAGUAUUCAAUAUUAACUUCUGGCGAAGUUAAACUGUCACGAAACAAAGACACCUUCCGGUUGUAUGGGUUAAUGACUAAGCGUACACCGUGGAUGCA